AAAUAAUGAAGCAGUAACGAAGAGCCUUCACCGCUUUCUACAAAAACAACUGCAUUGAAUAUUGAGAACGAAUCAGGUGAAAGCAUAUUAGGCGAUUGUGAGUCAAAUUACUCAACGAACACUAAACA
Non-coding RNA from Hydra vulgaris (swiftwater hydra), 128 nucleotides. Lineage: Eukaryota; Metazoa; Cnidaria; Hydrozoa; Anthoathecata; Hydridae. The record is from RefSeq and is a predicted model, not a curated record.